UACAGAGGGGGCAAGCGUUGUUCGGAAUUACUGGGCGUAAAGGGCUCGUAGGCGGCCAACUAAGUCGGAUGUGAAAUCCCUAGGCUCAACCUGGGAACUGCAUCCGAUACUGGAUGGCUUGAAUUCGGGAGAGGGAUGCAGAAUUCCAGGUGUAGCGGUGAAAUGCGUAGAUAUCUGGAGGAAUACCGGUGGCGAAGGCGGCAUCCUGGACCGACAUUGACGCUGAGGAGCGAAAGCCAGGGGAGCAAACGGG
Molecule: ribosomal RNA, 253 nt
Filed under: uncultured bacterium
Lineage: Bacteria
Description: partial 16S ribosomal RNA
Rfam family: Bacterial small subunit ribosomal RNA
Source: RNAcentral